AGAAAAUAUUUCACACCAUGAUUCUAAAUGUUAAAAACUUGACUUCUAUUAUUAGUAGCAGUUUGAAAUUGUUAGAAAUAUGACGAGAAUGCAAUGCAUUUUGGUUCUAUUCCUACUUUUCGCUGCUGUUCAAAGUGCUGAAGCAUUAACGAAAAUUAUUGAUCACUUGGAAAAAAAUUAUCCAAGAGUAAAAACUCGUGUUAAAAAUGUCAUAGAUACUGGAGUUUCAAGAGGCAAAAAGUACGGCGAAAUAGGAAAUAACAUACAAUCAAUUAUAGACAUAUUGGAACGAAACAUGAACGACUUCAUGUCGAGAAGAAAGAAGAAAGUAAAAAAUAACACAAAGAGCAGAAAAAACUACAACGGAAAAAUUACAACCAGAGACGAAUUGGGCUAUGAUAGAGAAAACGGUCGGCCCGUAGGAAGAUUCGUGUUUUAAUCAAUCCUGAAAUUUAUACAAAUAUUAGCAGGUAUGUUUUAAUCAACAGCGAUCACCGUGGUUAAAAAUACUUCUGUGAUGAUUUGUUCCGGGUUUUUCAGAUUACAAAUAAAUUAAACUGCUAAUAAAUAUCCUUUGCCGUA
Molecule: long non-coding RNA, 582 nt
Organism: Aricia agestis (brown argus)
Lineage: Eukaryota; Metazoa; Arthropoda; Insecta; Lepidoptera; Lycaenidae
Exons: 2
Source: RefSeq, a predicted model, not a curated record